ACUUCAGGGUUCGGGUAUUGUAUGAUCAUUUCAUUGAACCUUUGCCACACAUCAUACAAAGGCUCAUCUCUAAGUUGACAAAAAAUUGUUAUUUCAUUCCUCAGUU
Molecule: non-coding RNA, 106 nt
Organism: Capsicum annuum
Lineage: Eukaryota; Viridiplantae; Streptophyta; Magnoliopsida; Solanales; Solanaceae
Source: Rfam